UGAAUUUUUCAAUAACGCAAAAUUGCCUCAUCCUUUCCUCACACUUUCAGAACACGCCGCUCGUAUCAGCAUGCCUCUCGCACCCAAACCAGAAAACUUCAUUCCUGGCGAUCUCUCUUGUUCUCCCAGCGAUCUCUCUCGUUCUCCAGGUCACGUUCUCCGGCUCGGCGUCCUUCCUCUGGGCAUAUCAUGCAUUACUUACGAGAAAACAACACACGAUGCCCUGUUGCAGGUAUAUUUAUUUUUUGUUCCCCUACAUCAGUUGGACUUAUACUUUGAUGGUGACAUACUAGAAAAAUGUGGGGGUAUAUCUCAGCACAAGGGAUUGGAAAGUUAUAUUCUGGGUACAAAACACAUAAGAGGUAGUCUUGAUUAAUGACUGAUGUGUGACAUGCAGGUUGAAGAGUUUAGGCUAAUUAAGUGCCUAAACCUGUUUGAGUUUUUCAAUUAUUUAUGGGAAAGACCAUUGUAUAUCCCCCUUUACGGAAGAUGUCAAGUUUAUCUAAGUCUGUAUAGUGAUAGCCUAGGGAUAGCUUGAGCCAAAUAUGAAUUUAUUUAGGGAAACGCAUCCUCUCCGGAUCCCUUUUCACCUAGUCCGGGAUCCGGGCCGUUGAAAAUUUGAUCCAACGGUUACAAACAAGAGGCCCCUUUAAAAGUAAUAAUAAAUGUAGCCGUUGGAUCAUUCUAACGGUUCGAAUCCUGAACUAGGUGAAUUUGGUUUAAAGGAAUUCGAAGAAGAUCCCUUUCCUUUAUUUAGCAUAUGCAUAUGCACUUGUCAUAAUUAAUUUGAUUCUUCCCUCUUUCUUAUUUUCUACAAAUAGGGCUAAGAGAAUAAGACAGGUUACAUUUCAAAUUGACUAAUUCGCAUAUUUCCUCAUUGGUUUUUAUGGCUGCUAUAUUGUUUUCCACAAUGUCAAUACAAUUUAAUUAAGAAACAAUAUAGAUAUGUAAAUUUUAUAGCAUUUUAAAUUGUGGGGGGCUUUCCAUUUCAAUUUUGCUUGGAGGAAUUAAAUUAGAUGCUUUGUACGAUUAUUAGUAUUAUAAAUGAGCUUUACCAUACAUCUUUUAGAUGUAAUCACUAAUGAGUUUGUUCAAGUGAAAUUCAGGACAUCAAUGAAAAUUGUUGGGGUUGGAGGAGAGCCCGGUAUGCUGGAUAAACUUUGACGUACUUGAAAAUGUGGGAGUAUGCUAAGUUUUUUAUUUGGGCAGGUGUACCGAAAGUUCCAUUGACCAUUCCAAAGGCAUAUUCUGAAUGCUAAAUAAUUUGAGGUACUAUAUAGUUUAUAUUAAUUAGAAAUGAAUGGUAAUUUUUUUUUUUUUUUAAACAGCUUAUGGUAACGUUAUACGUGCAAAUGCCAUAUUAUGUUGAGAAGUCAUGCUUGGGAGAGACAGCUUAAAUAGAUAUGCAGGUGCACCUUGGAUUGGAACAUGAGUUGACACUCAUUUGGAAAAAGAUAUUUGGUGAGGCUUAACAACAUUUUUGUUAUAUCCCAAUUUAUAUGGACGUGACCCUGUAUUUGGUUGAGAGAUAUCCCACUAUUGUGGAAGACAACAAUGUGUUUGGUUUGAGGUAUCCCACUAAUUGUGGAAGAGACUAUAAAUUUAUCUGUGUCUGUGUGGCGAUAGCCUAGCUAUAAGAGCUUGAGUUAAAUAUAAAUUUAUUUUGCAUAUA
Non-coding RNA from Malus domestica (apple), 1672 nucleotides. The record is from RefSeq and is a predicted model, not a curated record. NCBI's taxonomy places the organism in Eukaryota, Viridiplantae, Streptophyta, Magnoliopsida, Rosales, Rosaceae.